RNAcentral lists this ribosomal RNA (460 nucleotides) under uncultured bacterium. RNAcentral describes it as "partial 16S ribosomal RNA". It matches the Rfam family "Bacterial small subunit ribosomal RNA", at positions 338 to 795 of the family's 1533-position model. The record is from RNAcentral.
CCUACGGGCGGCAGCAGUGAGGAAUAUUGGUCAAUGGACGAGAGUCUGAACCAGCCAAGUAGCGUGAAGGAUGACUGCCCUAUGGGUUGUAAACUUCUUUUAUAUGGGAAUAAAACAGGGUAUGCAUACCCUCUUGUAUGUACCAUAUGAAUAAGAAUCGGCAAACUCCGGGCAACAGGCGGCGGGAAUACGGAGGAUCCGAGCGUUAUCCGGAUUUAUUGGGUUUAAGGGUAGCGUAGGUGGAUUGUUAAGUAAGUUGUGAAAGUUUGCGGCUCAACCGUAAAAUUGCAGUUGAAACUGGCAGUCUUGAGUACAGUAGAGGUGGGCGGAAUGCGUGGUGUAGCGGUGAAAUGCUUAGAUAUCACGAAGAACUCCGAUUGCGAAGGCAGCUCACUGGACUGCAACUGACACUGAUGCUCGAAAGUGUGGGUAUCAAACAGGAUUAGAUACCCUAGUAGUC